Molecule: ribosomal RNA, 466 nt
Filed under: Muirodelphax atratus
Lineage: Eukaryota; Metazoa; Arthropoda; Insecta; Hemiptera; Delphacidae
Description: partial 16S ribosomal RNA
Rfam family: Bacterial large subunit ribosomal RNA (bases 340-466)
Source: RNAcentral
CUUAAAUAGCUGCAGUAUUUUAACUGUACAAAGGUAGCGUAGUAAUUAGUCUUUUAAUUGAGGUCUUGUAUGAAUGGUUUGACAAGAAGAAAACUUUAUUGAGUUAAUUGUAUUAAUUUUAUUUUUUAGUUAAAAAGCUAAAAUUUUUAAAUGGGACGAUAAGACCCUAUAGAUCUUUAAAUUUUUACUAUUUAAAUCAAUUUAAGGUUAUUUAAAUUUUAUUUGUAACAAAUUUUUUGUUGGGGUGACAUAUAAAAUUUUAAAACUUUAAUAGUUUUUUACAUAGAUUUAUGGAUUUCUGAACCCUAAUUUUGGGUUAUUAAAAUUAGAUACCUUAGGGAUAACAGCGUAAUAAAUUUGUAUAGUUCUCAUAGAUAAAUUUGUUUACGACCUCGAUGUUGAAUUAAUCUAAAGUUUUGGGGCAGAAAUUAAAAUUUUAGGUCUGUUCGACCUUUAAAAGAUUACA